Molecule: ribosomal RNA, 556 nt
Filed under: Trichoderma pleuroticola
Lineage: Eukaryota; Fungi; Ascomycota; Sordariomycetes; Hypocreales; Hypocreaceae
Description: eukaryotic LSU rRNA
Rfam family: 5.8S ribosomal RNA (bases 167-320)
Source: RNAcentral
CCAAACUGUUGCCUCGGCGGGAUCUCUGCCCCGGGUGCGUCGCAGCCCCGGACCAAGGCGCCCGCCGGAGGACCAACCAAAACUCUUAUUGUAUACCCCCUCGCGGGUUUUUUUUAUAAUCUGAGCCUUCUCGGCGCCCCUCGUGGGCGUUUCGAAAAUGAAUCAAAACUUUCAACAACGGAUCUCUUGGUUCUGGCAUCGAUGAAGAACGCAGCGAAAUGCGAUAAGUAAUGUGAAUUGCAGAAUUCAGUGAAUCAUCGAAUCUUUGAACGCACAUUGCGCCCGCCAGUAUUCUGGCGGGCAUGCCUGUCCGAGCGUCAUUUCAACCCUCGAACCCCUCCGGGGGGUCGGCGUUGGGGAUCGGCCCUCCCUCUGCGGGGGCCGUCUCCGAAAUACAGUGGCGGUCUCGCCGCAGCCUCUCCUGCGCAGUAGUUUGCACACUCGCACCGGGAGCGCGGCGCGUCCACAGCCGUUAAACACCCAACUUUCUGAAAUGUUGACCUCGGAUCAGGUAGGAAUACCCGCUGAACUUAAGCAUAUCAAUAAGCCGGAGGAA